GUCUAGUUGACGAGUCUUAAAUGGGACGAAACGUGCGUUCUGGAU
This 45-nucleotide non-coding RNA is filed under the name Schistosoma mattheei. The record is from RNAcentral. Lineage: Eukaryota; Metazoa; Platyhelminthes; Trematoda; Strigeidida; Schistosomatidae.